RNAcentral lists this unclassified non-coding RNA (1706 nucleotides) under Hevea brasiliensis (rubber tree). Lineage: Eukaryota; Viridiplantae; Streptophyta; Magnoliopsida; Malpighiales; Euphorbiaceae. The record is from RNAcentral.
CAAAAUUUCAUCGUCCAGCUUUGCGUCUCUACUCUGUAUCCUUAGCCCUCUUUGUUGACCGCAAAGCUCAAAAUCGCCAUGGGAGAUGUCAGAGGAAAUUCCAAUAGCAAUCGGCCAGAGUGGUUGCAACAGUAUGAUUUGAUAGGGAAAAUUGGGGAAGGGACUUACGGGUUGGUUUUUUUGGCUAAGAUCAAAGCUAACCGUAGCAAAUCUAUUGCUAUCAAGAAGUUCAAGCAAUCCAAGGACGGUGACGGCGUUUCCCCCACCGCCAUUCGCGAAAUCAUGUUGCUUCGGGAGAUAUCCCAUGAGAAUGUUGUAAAGCUUGUCAAUGUGCAUAUCAACCAGGCAGAUAUGUCUCUCUAUCUCGCUUUUGACUAUGCCGAGCAUGACCUCUAUGAAAUUAUCAGACACCAUAGAGACAAGGUCAUUCUUUCAAUCAAUCCGUACACUGUAAAGUCUCUGUUAUGGCAGCUGCUUAAUGGUCUCAAUUAUCUUCACAGUAAUUGGAUUGUUCAUCGAGACCUAAAGCCAUCAAACAUCUUGGUAAUGGGCGAGGGAGAAGAACAUGGAGUUGUUAAAAUUGCUGAUUUCGGCCUUGCAAGAAUUUAUCAAGCUCCACUGAAACCAUUAGCUGAGAAUGGGGUUGUAGUCACUAUCUGGUAUCGUGCGCCGGAGUUACUGCUUGGGGCUAAACACUACACAAGUGCAGUUGAUAUGUGGGCCGUUGGCUGUAUAUUUGCUGAGCUUCUUACUCUAAAGCCACUAUUUCAAGGGCAAGAAGUGAAGGGCACACCAAACCCUUUCCAGCUUGACCAACUGGACAAGAUAUUUAAGGUUCUCGGACAUCCCACACCAGAAAAAUGGCCAACACUGGUAAACCUUCCGCAUUGGCAAUCUGAUGUGCAACGAAUUCAAGGACAUAAGUAUGACAAUCCUGCACUUUAUAGUGUUCUGCACAUGUCUCCCAAAAGUCCUGCAUACGACCUUCUUUCAAAGAUGCUUGAAUAUGAUCCUCGUAAAAGAAUAACAGCAACACAAGCUCUAGAGCAUGAGUACUUCCGGAUGGAACCUCUACCUGGCCGCAAUGCACUUGUACCACCACAACCUGGAGAAAAAGUUGUGAAUUAUCCAACUCGACCUGUGGACACAACUACAGACUUUGAAGGAACCAUUAGUCUUCAAACGUCUCAGCCGGUAUCAUCUGGAAAUGCAGCAUCUGGUGGCAUGCAUGGUCCCCAUGUUAUGCCAACUAGAUCUGUACCCCGACCAAUGCAAAUGGUGAACAUGCCAAGGAUGCAACCUCAGGGCAUGUCUGCUUAUAAUCUUGCUUCUCAAGCUGGCAUGAGUGCUGGAAUGAACCCUGGAAACAUGCCCAUGCAGCGUGGUGUUGCUGCUCAGGCACAUCAGCAGCAGAUGAGAAGGAAAGAUCCAGGAAUGGGAAUACCUGGAUACCCUUCACAACAGAAAUCUAGGCGGUUCUGAAAGUUUUUCUCAAUGACAAUCAUGCACAUACAACUCUGCAUAGCAGGUGGAUUAACGUUUCUGAAGCUGGCAAUGUUAAUGAACACAAGUAGAUGAGGCUGAAGAGGGUUUACAGAUAGGCAGUACUAUGUCAGACUUGGAUACAACAAUGUUCUUUAGUGUCUCAGUCGAACAUGAUUGCGUAAAGAAUAACUAGUGUUGUGGGUGAGAGAUAUCAGCAGCAG